UACGUAGGCAGCAAGCGUUGUUCGGAGUUACUGGGCGUAAAGGGUGCGUAGGCGGCUUUUUAAGUUUGGUGUGAAAUCUCCCGGCUCAACUGGGAGGGUGCGCCGAAUACUGAGAGGCUAGAGUGUGGGGAGAGGAAAGUGGAAUUCCUGGUGUAGCGGUGAAAUGUGUAGAUAUCAGGAGGAACACCGGUGGUGUAAACGGCUUUCUGGACCAUAACUGACGCUGAUGCACGAAAGCGUGGGUAGCAAACAGG
RNAcentral lists this ribosomal RNA (254 nucleotides) under uncultured bacterium. RNAcentral's name for it is "partial 16S ribosomal RNA". It matches the Rfam family "Bacterial small subunit ribosomal RNA", at positions 524 to 776 of the family's 1533-position model. The record is from RNAcentral.